GAUGAACGCUGGCGGCGUGCCUAAUACAUGCAAGUCGAACGAACGGACGAGAAGCUUGCUUCUCUGAUGUUAGCGGCGGACGGGUGAGUAACACGUGGAUAACCUACCUAUAAGACUGGGAUAACUUCGGGAAACCGGAGCUAAUACCGGAUAAUAUUUUGAACCGCAUGGUUCAAAAGUGAAAGACGGUCUUGCUGUCACUUAUAGAUGGAUCCGCGCUGCAUUAGCUAGUUGGUAAGGUAACGGCUUACCAAGGCAACGAUGCAUAGCCGACCUGAGAGGGUGAUCGGCCACACUGGAACUGAGACACGGUCCAGACUCCUACGGGAGGCAGCAGUAGGGAAUCUUCCGCAAUGGGCGAAAGCCUGACGGAGCAACGCCGCGUGAGUGAUGAAGGUCUUCGGAUCGUAAAACUCUGUUAUUAGGGAAGAACAUAUGUGUAAGUAACUGUGCUCAUCUUGACGGUACCUAAUCAGAAAGCCACGGCUAACUACGUG
Molecule: ribosomal RNA, 497 nt
Filed under: uncultured bacterium
Lineage: Bacteria
Description: partial 16S ribosomal RNA
Rfam family: Bacterial small subunit ribosomal RNA
Source: RNAcentral